RNAcentral lists this ribosomal RNA (1016 nucleotides) under Srinivasanomyces kangrensis. RNAcentral describes it as "SSU rRNA". It matches the Rfam family "Eukaryotic small subunit ribosomal RNA", at positions 51 to 1076 of the family's 1831-position model. The record is from RNAcentral. Lineage: Eukaryota; Fungi; Ascomycota; Leotiomycetes; Helotiales; Vibrisseaceae.
AUGCAUGUCUAAGUAUAAGCAACUAUACUGUGAAACUGCGAAUGGCUCAUUAAAUCAGUUAUCGUUUAUUUGAUAGUACCUUACUACUUGGAUAACCGUGGUAAUUCUAGAGCUAAUACAUGCUAAAAACCUCGACUUCGGAAGGGGUGUAUUUAUUAGAUAAAAAACCAAUGCCCUUCGGGGCUCCUUGGUGAUUCAUAAUAACUUAACGAAUCGCAUGGCCUUGUGCCGGCGAUGGUUCAUUCAAAUUUCUGCCCUAUCAACUUUCGAUUAUAGGGUUUUGGCCUAUAAUGGUUUCAACGGGUAACGGGGAAUUAGGGUUCUAUUCCGGAGAGGGAGCCUGAGAAACGGCUACCACAUCCAAGGAAGGCAGCAGGCGCGCAAAUUACCCAAUCCCGACACGGGGAGGUAGUGACAAUAAAUACUGAUACAGGGCUCUUUUGGGUCUUGUAAUUGGAAUGAGUACAAUUUAAAUCCCUUAACGAGGAACAAUUGGAGGGCAAGUCUGGUGCCAGCAGCCGCGGUAAUUCCAGCUCCAAUAGCGUAUAUUAAAGUUGUUGCAGUUAAAAAGCUCGUAGUUGAACCUUGGGCCUGGCUGGCCGGUCCGCCUCACCGCGUGCACUGGUCCGGCCGGGCCUUUCCUUCUGAGGAGCCGCAUGCCCUUCACUGGGUGUGUCGGGGAAUCAGGACUUUUACUUUGAAAAAAUUAGAGUGUUCAAAGCAGGCCUUUGCUCGAAUACAUUAGCAUGGAAUAAUAGAAUAGGACGUGUGGUUCUAUUUUGUUGGUUUCUAGGACCGCCGUAAUGAUUAAUAGGGAUAGUCGGGGGUGUCAGUAUUCAAUUGUCAGAGGUGAAAUUCUUGGAUUUAUUGAAGACUAACUACUGCGAAAGCAUUCACCAAGGAUGUUUUCAUUAAUCAGUGAACGAAAGUUAGGGGAUCGAAGACGAUCAGAUACCGUCGUAGUCUUAACCAUAAACUAUGCCGACUAGGGAUCGGGCGAUGUUAUCUUUUUGACU